This 448-nucleotide ribosomal RNA is filed under the name uncultured bacterium. RNAcentral describes it as "partial 16S ribosomal RNA". It matches the Rfam family "Bacterial small subunit ribosomal RNA", at positions 330 to 793 of the family's 1533-position model. The record is from RNAcentral.
ACCAGACUCCUACGGGAGGCAGCAGUGGGGGAUAUUGCACAAUGGGGGGAACCCUGAUGCAGCGACGCCGCGUGGGUGAAGAAGCGCCUCGGCGCGUAAAGCCCUGUCAGCAGGGAAGAAAAUGACGGUACCUGAAGAAGAAGCCCCGGCUAACUACGUGCCAGCAGCCGCGGUAAUACGUAGGGGGCAAGCGUUAUCCGGAUUUACUGGGUGUAAAGGGGGCGCAGACGGCGAUGCAAGCCAGGAGUGAAAGCCCGGGGCCCAACCCCGGGACUGCUCUUGGAACUGCGUGGCUGGAGUGCAGGAGGGGCAGGCGGAAUUCCUGGUGUAGCGGUGAAAUGCGUAGAUAUCAGGAGGAACACCGGUGGCGAAGGCGGCCUGCUGGACUGCAACUGACGUUGAGGCCCGAAAGCGUGGGGAGCAAACAGGAUUAGAUACCCGAGUAUCG